Non-coding RNA from Cercophora sp. LCS_1, 106 nucleotides. The record is from the annotation of a GenBank genome assembly. NCBI's taxonomy places the organism in Eukaryota, Fungi, Ascomycota, Sordariomycetes, Sordariales, Lasiosphaeriaceae.
GGCUCCCUGGUGUAGCGGUUAACACACCCCCCUUUUCUUGGAUGUACUAUAUUUCUUUGCUACCAAGGGGGGAGCACCCAGGUUCGACUCCUGGGGGGAGUGCUCA